RNAcentral lists this ribosomal RNA (159 nucleotides) under Alternaria alternata. Its description in RNAcentral is "5.8S ribosomal RNA". It matches the Rfam family "5.8S ribosomal RNA". Rfam says of the family: 5.8S ribosomal RNA (5.8S rRNA) is a component of the large subunit of the eukaryotic ribosome. It is transcribed by RNA polymerase I as part of the 45S precursor that also contains 18S and 28S rRNA. Functionally, it is thought that 5.8S rRNA may be involved in ribosome translocation. The record is from RNAcentral. Lineage: Eukaryota; Fungi; Ascomycota; Dothideomycetes; Pleosporales; Pleosporaceae. RNAcentral also lists the same sequence under 5 other names.
UUCAACAACGGAUCUCUUGGUUCUGGCAUCGAUGAAGAACGCAGCGAAAUGCGAUAAGUAGUGUGAAUUGCAGAAUUCAGUGAAUCAUCGAAUCUUUGAACGCACAUUGCGCCCUUUGGUAUUCCAAAGGGCAUGCCUGUUCGAGCGUCAUUUGUACCC